This 219-nucleotide ribosomal RNA is filed under the name uncultured bacterium. RNAcentral's name for it is "partial 16S ribosomal RNA". It matches the Rfam family "Bacterial small subunit ribosomal RNA", at positions 524 to 740 of the family's 1533-position model. The record is from RNAcentral.
UACAGAGGUCCCAAGCGUUGUUCGGAUUCACUGGGCGUAAAGGGUGCGUAGGUGGCAGGGUAAGUUUGAUGUGAAAUCUCCGUGCUUAACUCGGAACUGCAUUGAAUACUAUCCUGCUCGAGGGUUGGAAGGGGGACUGGAAUUCUCGGUGUAGCAGUGAAAUGCGUAGAUAUCGAGAGGAACACCAGUGGGCGAAAGGCGAGUCCCGUGGACAAUACC